RNAcentral lists this ribosomal RNA (498 nucleotides) under uncultured bacterium. RNAcentral describes it as "partial 16S ribosomal RNA". It matches the Rfam family "Bacterial small subunit ribosomal RNA", at positions 30 to 523 of the family's 1533-position model. The record is from RNAcentral.
AUUGAACGCUGGAGGCAUGCUUUACACAUGCAAGUCGAACGGUAACAGGCCGCAAGGUGCUGACGAGUGGCGAACGGGUGAGUAAUGCAUCGGAACGUGCCCAGUCGUGGGGGAUAACGCAGCGAAAGCUGUGCUAAUACCACAUACGAUCUAUGGAUGAAAGCGGGGGACCGUAAGGCCUCGCGCGAUUGGAGCGGCCGAUGUCAGAUUAGGUAGUUGGUGGGGUAAAGGCUCACCAAGCCAACGAUCUGUAGCUGGUCUGAGUGGACGACCAGCCACACUGGGACUGAGACACGGCCCAGACUCCUACGGGAGGCAGCAGUGGGGAAUUUUGGACAAUGGGCGCAAGCCUGAUCCAGCAAUGCCGCGUGCAGGAAGAAGGCCUUCGGGUUGUAAACUGCUUUUGUACGGAACGAAAAGGUUUGGGUUAAUACCCUGGGCCGAUGACGGUACCGUAAGAAUAAGCACCGGCUAACUACGUGCCAGCCGCCGCAGUAA